Molecule: long non-coding RNA, 412 nt
Filed under: Coturnix japonica (Japanese quail)
Lineage: Eukaryota; Metazoa; Chordata; Aves; Galliformes; Phasianidae
Description: lncRNA (ENSCJPG00005020953.1)
Source: RNAcentral
CGGAAGUGUGGGUAAAACUGUAAAUUACUAACUUUGUAAGACCAGGGAAAACAAAAUAGUCCUAAUGAGACACAAUGUCAUUUCAGAAGGUCCUAGCAUGGUUCAGCAAAUAGAAUGUUUUACCACCGCUGAUGCAUAUCAGACUUCCUUUCACCGUGGCGGAGAAGGGCCCUAUGAGCUGCCUGUGCUGGUGUUGGCCAAGGCUGGCUUUCCUGUGCCCAGCAGCCUCAUGCCUGCGGCCUGCACCUUCAGCCCUGUGAGCAUAAGGCUGGGCAAUGGCCAGCAGCCCGGGUGCUUGGUGUGUGACCUCAUAGUAGGGAAGGGAGCAGGCCAUGCCUCAGUGAGGAUGACACCAAAGCACAGGUUUGUCAAACAGCUCAUCUCCUGCAGAAUGUUGGGCCAAAACCUGUGA